UACGGGGGGGGCAAGCGUUGUUCGGAAUUACUGGGCGUAAAGGGUUCGUAGGUGGCCAACUAAGUCAUACGUGAAAUCCCUCAGCUUAACUGGGGAACUGCGUCUGAUACUGGUUGGCUUGAGUGCAGGAGAGGAACGCGGAAUUCCAGGUGUAGCGGUGAAAUGCGUAGAUAUCUGGAGGAACACCGGUGGCGAAGGCGGCGUUCUGGACUGCAACUGACACUGAGGAACGAAAGCCAGGGGAGCAAACGGG
Molecule: ribosomal RNA, 253 nt
Filed under: uncultured bacterium
Lineage: Bacteria
Description: partial 16S ribosomal RNA
Rfam family: Bacterial small subunit ribosomal RNA
Source: RNAcentral